This 253-nucleotide ribosomal RNA is filed under the name uncultured bacterium. RNAcentral's name for it is "partial 16S ribosomal RNA". It matches the Rfam family "Bacterial small subunit ribosomal RNA", at positions 524 to 776 of the family's 1533-position model. The record is from RNAcentral.
UACAGAGGUCUCAAGCGUUGUUCGGAUUCAUUGGGCGUAAAGGGUGCGUAGGCGGCGCGGUAAGUCGGGUGUGAAAUCUUGGAGCUUAACUCCGAAACUGCAUUCGAUACUGCCGUGCUUGAGGACUGGAGAGGAGACUGGAAUUUACGGUGUAGCGGUGAAAUGCGUAGAUAUCAGGAAGAACACCCGUGGCGAAAGCGGCUCUCUGGAACGGUACUGACGCUGAGACGCGAAAGCGUGGGGAGCGAACAGG